Molecule: long non-coding RNA, 391 nt
Organism: Rosa rugosa (rugosa rose)
Lineage: Eukaryota; Viridiplantae; Streptophyta; Magnoliopsida; Rosales; Rosaceae
Exons: 4
Source: RefSeq, a predicted model, not a curated record
GACUCUCUCCUUUUUUCUGAAUAAUUAUGCUUUUGAUUUAUGAACUAUCUUAAAUGAGACUUUCUUUUUGAUCUUCAUCUGCUCCUCAGUUCGUACAGCUUGGUUUCGUGAUUUGCACAGCGUGAUAUAGAGAGAUUUCAGACUGAGUUCAACUGAAUGAUAUCAUUCAUGACAUGUCAGACAAGUUCAACUCAUAUAUAUCACAUAAGCAAUUGAAGAGUGAACGAGGAAGCCAUGGAUUGGAGAGUGAUUACUAUUUGCUGGCAUUGAACUUUCCCUCAAAGAAUGAGCUUUUCCUCUGUAAAGGAGAUUAGUAGAAAGCUGGAAAAUGCAUACAAGAGUGUUGCACUCCAUGAAAGCUCCAACCAAGAUGAAUGAAAAAGUAAUCUGC